UACUCUCCGUUAAGCGAAAAGAGAAGCCCAUUUAACGGAGACGACGCGAUGAAGAAGGCAGCCACGCCGUCGAGGGGAAUUGGGAACGGAUCGGCCGGCGGCGGCGGAGGCGGCGGCCUCUUCUCGAGGUCGCCGGAGAGCCGGCGAUGCGUGAGAUUUCCGGCGAGAUCGCUGCCGUUCUCCGGGGAGUUCGCCACCCUGGGGCUGACGCCGUCCGCGUCCAAGUCCGACGUCAAGCGCGCCUACAAACGCCUGGCCUUGAAGUACCACCCGGAUGUGAUGAGAGGGGAGAAGGGGGUCCAAGAGGAGGAAGCCUUUAAGGAGAUCAAAUCUGCAUACGAGAGAUGCUGUAAGACUAAGAACUUGAAAGAGUCUUCAGAUUUGACCAGCAUCUAUGAGCUUCUUAAUGACAUUGAUUCUGAUCUCAUUCAGGUGAGUUAUGAUGGUCUCUUGGAUAUUGUUAAGAAUUGCACAUUUCUUGGACUUGCUGAUGAAGUUUUUGCAUUGAUACAGCACAAUACUCAUCUGUACCUAAUGAAUGUGGUUUCUGUGAGGAGUUGAAAACAGGGAGAACGAUUAGCAGUGAUAGAUUGCAAGGCGGCUUGUAUCUUCUGGAUGACAAUUGUGGUCUCUCAAAUCCUGAUCCCAACCAAGCUUUGUUAAGACAUUCUAUAAGUGCUGAACAAGAGACCAUCCAGUGGCAUAGGCGAUUAUGGCAUCCUUCUUUUUCUGCUUUAAAAAGAUUAUAUCUUAUUUUGUUUAGACAAUGCAAAUCAGAAUUGCUAGUUUGUGAUGCUUGUUAAUUUGCUAAACACACAAGACAUUCUUAUCCUCCAAUAAAUAUUAAGAGUUUGGUUCCUUUUAUGGCUAUUCAUUUUGAUGUAUGGGGGCCUAUCCGAAUAGGUUCUUUGUUUGGUUAUAGAUGGUUUGUCAUUUUUAUUGAUUGUUGCACUAGAUUGACUUGGGUUUACUUGAUGAAAGCAAAAAAUGAAGUAUUUUCUUACUUUCAACAGUUUCAUAAGAUAAUUUGUACACAGUUGGAUGCUCAAGUUAAGAUUCUAAGGACUGAUAAUGAUACUGAAUAUAUAAAUGAAGUCUUUCGUACCUAUUUACAUUCAAAUGGAAUUGUGCAUCAGACUAGUUGUAUAAAUACUAGUGCACAAAAUGGAGUGUCAGAGAGAAAGAAUAAACAUUUACUUGAGGUGGAUCGAUCCCUUAUGUUUACCAUGAACCUUCCUACACCUUACUAGGGGGAUGCUGUUCUUUCUGCAGCCUAUCUUAUCAAUAGAAUGCCUCUUAGAAUACUGAACUUUAAGAGUCCUUUAGAGGUUUUACAGGGUAGUAAUUCUUAUACUGUUCCCCUAAAGAUCUUUGGUUGUGUUUGUUUUGUUCAUAAGACAAAUGUUGGAAAGUUAAAACCUAGAGCUCUUAAAUGUGUGUUUGUAGAUUACUCUGGUACUCAAAAGGGAUAUAAAUGUUACCAUCCACCUUCAAGAAAAUAUUUUGUUAGCAUGGAUGUCACAUUUAAGGAAUCUGAGCCUUAUUUCUCCACUCAGUCACCUCUUCAGGGGGAGCAUAAGAAUGAAAAGAUGUCCUCCUCAUGUUAUCCUCUUUAGGGAGAGAUUCUUAAGCUUGAGACAGACCUUAAUGAGGAUAACAAGGACCAACCACCUCAACCCCUAAAGAGAUUGGAUAGACUGGAUUUGAGAACUUACACACAUCAGAACAAGACAAAUAUAGUCAUUGAGCAUGAUACACCUGAUCAACCGGCAUCCUUGAAUUCAGUUUCUGAAUAUUUUGAAGAUUUAUGUGAUGAAUACCGUGUUGCUCCAGCAAAAAGCACAGAUGCUUGAUGAGCUUUUCUGCUUCCUCACGGAUCAAGAAGGGAAGCUGACAAGGCUUCCUGUCAUACUCGACGAGCAUACUCCGGACAUGAACCAUGUUCCGGAAUUUUUGUUGAGUUUGGAGAAUGAUGUAGGUCCUGAAACUUAUUUUCAAUCUUGGUAAUCAAUACUUCUUGAGAUCUUCAGCAUAUAAAUUAUUAUAGGUCUGUCUUUCAGGACAGAAUUUGGAUGAGUUUAUAACUGCAUUUUGGUUUAACCCAUUCUUAGCUUGUCUUUAGACUCCUAUAAAAGAAUCGGUUGCAGUCUGAUGAGUAAUAUUUUUCAUUCUUCCCCA
Elaeis guineensis (African oil palm) is the source of this 2178-nucleotide non-coding RNA. Lineage: Eukaryota; Viridiplantae; Streptophyta; Magnoliopsida; Arecales; Arecaceae. The record is from RefSeq and is a predicted model, not a curated record.